GACGAACGCUGGCGGCGUGCCUAAUACAUGCAAGUUGAGCGCUGAAGGUUGGUACUUGUACCAACUGGAUGAGCAGCGAACGGGUGAGUAACGCGUGGGGAAUCUGCCUUUGAGCGGGGGACAACAUUUGGAAACGAAUGCUAAUACCGCAUAAAAACUUUAAACACAAGUUUUAAGUUUGAAAGAUGCAAUUGCAUCACUCAAAGAUGAUCCCGCGUUGUAUUAGCUAGUUGGUGAGGUAAAGGCUCACCAAGGCGAUGAUACAUAGCCGACCUGAGAGGGUGAUCGGUCACAUUGGGACUGAGACACGGCCCAAACUCCUACGGGAGGCAGCAGUAGGGAAUCUUCGGCAAUGGACGAAAGUCUGACCGAGCAACGCCGCGUGAGUGAAGAAGGUUUUCGGAUCGUAAAACUCUGUUGGUAGAGAAGAACGUUGGUGAGAGUGGAAAGCUCAUCAAGUGACGGUAACUACCCAGAAAGGGACGGCUAACUACGUG
Molecule: ribosomal RNA, 497 nt
Filed under: uncultured bacterium
Lineage: Bacteria
Description: partial 16S ribosomal RNA
Rfam family: Bacterial small subunit ribosomal RNA
Source: RNAcentral